UUGUGUUUUUGGCUUUGGUACAAAACUGGCGUUUUCUAGGUUUACACAUGGUAUUUGAGAGUGUCGGGCAAAGGUUAAAGAAAUUGGUUUCUAGGCUUAUUCAAUGUGGCUUUAGUUGUGAUUGUAUUUAUAGCUAAGGGUAUUUUCUUUAAUAGGGUGUUGAAUAGGUAGUUCAAUCAUUAUGAGUUUGUGCUAAAAAAAUCAGAUUUUUUCCCCGUAUCUCCAGUGGUUAAUAUUUCACAAUUAUGGAAACAUAGAUUUAGCUGUGAAAAGAAAGGAAGGAAAUAAAGUGCCAGCACCUGCGGUUAAACUUUUUGUCUUUAGUCAGUUAAAGUGUAUAGUUUAGUUAUAGAAAAUAUUAGGUUAAUUCUAGGUCAGUAAAAUGUCGGUAAAAUGAAAACAGUUUAGAAAAAUUAUGGACCUAAAAACUUGAAGCUAAAAAGUCUGGUUUUGCUGGGACUGGGAUUAGAUACCCCAUUACUAAAGAUGUCAUAGCUCACUGCGGGGACUACGAGUAUUAGUACUUAAAACCCAAAAAGCUUGGCGGUGUACCAAAUCCGGUUAGGGGAACUUGGCGGUUAAUUCGAUGAUCCUCGAAAUACUUUACUUUUUUUUUUUCUUUAUAUACCGCCGUUGUCAAUUUAUCUUGAAGAGAAAAGUUUUAGGUGUUAAUAAUGGUUUAUUAUUGAAUUCAGGUAAACGUGUAGGUUAUAAAAAAGGCUUAGCUGAGUUACAAUUGUUUAGCAAAUAUUACGGAAAGAUUAAUGAAAGAUUAUCUUGAAGGAGUACUUAACAGUAAGAGUUAAUAAGAGUGGAAAUCUGAAUGGCGUAAUUGGUAUGUGUACAAAUCGCCCGGCACCCUCGUAUAUAAGAAGAUGAGGUAAGUCGUAACAUAGUAAUGCUAUUAGAAA
This 911-nucleotide non-coding RNA is filed under the name Sinonovacula constricta (Chinese razor clam). Lineage: Eukaryota; Metazoa; Mollusca; Bivalvia; Cardiida; Solecurtidae. The record is from RNAcentral.